AUGCGAUACGUAAUGUGAAUUGCAGAAUUCAGUGAAUCAUCGAAUCUUUGAACGCAUAUUGCGCUCUUUGGUAUUCCGAAGAGCAUGCUUGUUUGAGUAUCAGUAAACACCUCACAACCAAAUUUAUUUUUUGGAAGUGGACUUGAGUGAUCCUUACUCUCUCCUCUGGAGAAGGGGCAGGUUACUUGAAAUGCAGGUGCAGCUGGACUUACAACUGAGCUAUAAGCAUAUCUAUUUAAUCUCGUCAAACAGAUUAUUCAUUUUGCUAAAGCUACUCUAAGGUUGUAUUCUCCAUAUGGCUGACUGAUGCAGGAUUCACAAAGUGGACGUCAAAAACCCAUUUUGUAAACUCGAUCUCAAAUCAAGCAAGACUACCCGCUGAACUUAA
Molecule: unclassified non-coding RNA, 388 nt
Filed under: uncultured Mortierellales
Lineage: Eukaryota; Fungi; Mortierellomycota; Mortierellomycetes; Mortierellales
Description: partial contains 5.8S ribosomal RNA, internal transcribed spacer 2, and large subunit ribosomal RNA
Rfam family: 5.8S ribosomal RNA (bases 1-102)
Source: RNAcentral